This 1220-nucleotide long non-coding RNA is filed under the name Triticum aestivum (bread wheat). RNAcentral's name for it is "long non-coding RNA (TAES_LNC023515)". The record is from RNAcentral. Lineage: Eukaryota; Viridiplantae; Streptophyta; Magnoliopsida; Poales; Poaceae.
UGAAUUCUGAUACUCCUCCCCGACCUCCCCCCACUACCCUGGGCUCAUCGACCUCCUCAUCAACCGCGCAACGACGAUCGACCUCCAUUCAUCCGACGAUCUUCGCCGUGCCGUGCAACGGUAUUUCUCUCAAAGUUUCCUUCAUUGUUCCGACUUGUUCUUGUGCUCACACAUGCUUUGCGCUGGUGUUUUAUAGACGCGCUCUAUACUAUAUGGCGCCGCAAACGACGGGUCCUACCUAUGACCCGGCGCCUAUUGAUCAAGUCUGGAUUAUUGUUGACAAGGAUGGAGGGGUCUAUAUUGGCAGCGAUGACACUGAAUAGCCGGUGAUACUUUGAUCUCUCGUCUCAAUUCCUUUGCUAUCUGUAUUAUGUUUUCAUGUGCAUACGCGUAUCGCUAAAAGUGAUGUUUUUAUCCACUGGAAUAUACCGAAAAAGGCUUUCGCUCAGAAGACAUACAAGGACUAGUUCAAAAGACACACACCCAAGUCGCACAACAAUAAAUCCAGAGGUACUGCUGAGGGCACAGCUCAACAAGCCCAAAACACACACGAAAUAAGAGACAGGCUCAGCCGGGGCCAUGGCCGGAGAGCAAACAGACGACUAAUCAGGCUCAGGCGGAGGCGGCGGUGGUGGCGGCGACAGGCGGACGGCCAUCGAGCGGAGGUCGGCGAUGAAGGCGGAGACGGCGUCCCGGUCCCGAGGGCGGCUAAGCGGCCGCCAGAGCUGCAAGUAACCAGACAGUUUGAAGAGAGCGUCAGUAGAUCGUCGAAGAGGGGAGCCUGAAUCACAAGCUUAUUGCGAAUAGUCCAGAGCGUCCACGCGAGGGCCCCAAUCUCAAGCCACCUACUGUGGCGAGAGGACAGUGGGGAGGCCUGUAGCUCGGCGAAGAGGUCGGGGAAGUUGGAGUGGCACCAAUCCCCACCAACCGCUGGAAUAUAUAUGCUUCAUACACAUAUUUGCAGUUAUCCUUAUAAAAGUAACAGUCAACUUGCUUGCUUAAUUCCCCGGAAAAAAAAACUUGCUUGCUUAAUUAUGAAGUUGACUAUGAGCGUGAGUUGAUUAGCCCGUGUGUGACUAGUCGUUGUCUCUAAGAUGCUUGUUAGUUUAUUAUCCUGUCGGCUGCUUGUUCAACAAGUGGGACCUACCGUUAAGAUUACACAAAUAUUCAGUGAGUAUUUCCUUUUCUUCUCUCUUUAUAUUAGGUCUGCUUUCCGCUCA